GACGAACGCUGGCGGCGUGCCUAAUACAUGCAAGUAGAACGCUGAAACUUGGUGCUUGCACCGAGCGGGUGAGUUGCGAACGGGUGAGUAACGCGUAGGUAACCUGCCUGGUAGCGGGGGAUAACUAUUGGAAACGAUAGCUAAUACCGCAUAAGAGUAGAUGUUGCAUGACAUUUGCUUAAAAGGUGCAAUUGCACCACUACCAGAUGGACCUGCGUUGUAUUAGCUAGUUGGUGGGGUAACGGCUCACCAAGGCGACGAUACAUAGCCGACCUGAGAGGGUGAUCGGCCACACUGGGACUGAGACACGGCCCAGACUCCUACGGGAGGCAGCAGUAGGGAAUCUUCGGCAAUGGACGGAAGUCUGACCGAGCAACGCCGCGUGAGGGAAGAAGGUUUUCGGAUCGUAAAGCUCUGUUGUAAGAGAAGAACGAGUGUGAGAGUGGAAAGUUCACACUGUGACGGUAUCUUACCAGAAAGGGACGGCUAACUACGUG
This 497-nucleotide ribosomal RNA is filed under the name uncultured bacterium. RNAcentral describes it as "partial 16S ribosomal RNA". It matches the Rfam family "Bacterial small subunit ribosomal RNA", at positions 28 to 507 of the family's 1533-position model. The record is from RNAcentral.